GGAGGGGGCGAGCGUUAUCCGGAUUUACUGGGCGUAAAGCGCACGUAGGCGGCUAGGUAUGUCAAAGGUGAAAGCCCUCGACUCAACCGAGGAACUGCCUUUGAAACUGCUUGGCUUGAGUCCGGGAGAGGGGAGCGGAAUUCCCAGUGUAGCGGUGAAAUGCGUAGAUACUGGGAGGAACACCGGUGGCGAAGGCGGCUCCCUGGACCGGCACUGACGCUGAGGUGCGAAAGCGUGAGUAGCAAACAGGAUUAGAUACCCUGGUAGUCCACGCCGUAAACGAUGGGCACUAGGUGCAGCGGGUGUCGACCCCCUGCUGUGCCGAAGCUAACGCAUUAAGUGCCCCCGCCGGGGGGAGUACGGUCGCAAGGCUG
RNAcentral lists this ribosomal RNA (374 nucleotides) under uncultured organism. RNAcentral's name for it is "partial 16S ribosomal RNA". It matches the Rfam family "Bacterial small subunit ribosomal RNA", at positions 527 to 896 of the family's 1533-position model. The record is from RNAcentral.